Molecule: ribosomal RNA, 461 nt
Filed under: uncultured bacterium
Lineage: Bacteria
Description: bacterial SSU rRNA
Rfam family: Bacterial small subunit ribosomal RNA
Source: RNAcentral
GGACCCGCACAAGCGGUGGAUGAUGUGGUUUAAUUCGAUGCAACGCGAAAAACCUUACCUACCCUUGACAUGUCUAGAAGUUACCAGAGAUGGUUUCGUGCUCGAAAGAGAACUAGAACACAGGUGCUGCAUGGCCGUCGUCAGCUCGUGUCGUGAGAUGUUGGGUUAAGUCCCGCAACGAGCGCAACCCUUAUCAUUAGUUGCUACGCAAGGGCACUCUAAUGAGACUGCCGGUGACAAACCGGAGGAAGGUGGGGAUGACGUCAGGUCAUCAUGGCCCUUAUGGGUAGGGCUACACACGUCAUACAAUGGCCGGUACAGAGGGCUGCCAACCCGCGAGGGGGAGCUAAUCUCAGAAAACCGGUCGUAGUCCGGAUCGUAGUCUGCAACUCGACUGCGUGAAGUCGGAAUCGCUAGUAAUCGCGGAUCAGCUUGCCGCGGUGAAUACGUUCCCGGGUCUU